Non-coding RNA from Danio rerio (zebrafish), 116 nucleotides. Lineage: Eukaryota; Metazoa; Chordata; Actinopteri; Cypriniformes; Danionidae. The record is from Rfam.
CUUGGCAGCUAGCUCUUUGCAACUCUCACAUGGUCGCCCACUGAAGCUAAGCAGGGCUGCGCCCCGGUCAGUACCUGGAUGAGAGACCACAUGGGAAAGCUAGGUUGCUGCCAGAA